RNAcentral lists this transfer RNA (93 nucleotides) under Actinomycetota bacterium. Its description in RNAcentral is "tRNA-Sec". It matches the Rfam family "Selenocysteine transfer RNA". The record is from RNAcentral. Lineage: Bacteria; Bacillati; Actinomycetota.
GGAGGCGAGCGAGCGCCUGGUGGGCUCCCCGGUCUUCAAAACCGGUGGGGGGUCGCGAGGCCCCCGGCGGGUUCGAUUCCCGUCCGCCUCCGC